RNAcentral lists this ribosomal RNA (754 nucleotides) under uncultured Actinomyces sp. Its description in RNAcentral is "bacterial SSU rRNA". It matches the Rfam family "Bacterial small subunit ribosomal RNA", at positions 28 to 776 of the family's 1533-position model. Lineage: Bacteria; Bacillati; Actinomycetota; Actinomycetes; Actinomycetales; Actinomycetaceae. The record is from RNAcentral.
GACGAACGCUGGCGGCGUGCUUAACACAUGCAAGUCGAACGCUGAAGCCUGGCUUUUGUUGGGUGGAUGAGUGGCGAACGGGUGAGUAACACGUGAGUAACCUGCCCUCUUCUUUGGGAUAACGCCCGGAAACGGGUGCUAAUACUGGAUAUUCACUUGCCUUCGCAUGGGGGUGGGUGGAAAGGGUUUUUUCUGGUGGGGGAUGGGCUCGCGGCCUAUCAGCUUGUUGGUGGGGUGAUGGCUUACCAAGGCUUUGACGGGUAGCCGGCCUGAGAGGGUGACCGGUCACAUUGGGACUGAGAUACGGCCCAGACUCCUACGGGAGGCAGCAGUGGGGAAUAUUGCACAAUGGGCGCAAGCCUGAUGCAGCGACGCCGCGUGAGGGAUGGAGGCCUUCGGGUUGUGAACCUCUUUCGCUCAUGGUCAAGCCGCAACUCAUGGUUGUGGUGAGGGUAGUGGGUAAAGAAGCGCCGGCUAACUACGUGCCAGCAGCCGCGGUAAUACGUAGGGCGCGAGCGUUGUCCGGAAUUAUUAGGCGUAAAGGGCUUGUAGGCGGUUGGUCGCGUCUGCCGUGAAAUCCUCUGGCUUAACUGGGGGCGUGCGGUGGGUACGGGCUGGCUUGAGUGCGGUAGGGGAGACUGGAACUCCUGGUGUAGCGGUGGAAUGCGCAGAUAUCAGGAAGAACACCGGUGGCGAAGGCGGGUCUCUGGGCCGUUACUGACGCUGAGGAGCGAAAGCGUGGGGAGCGAACAGG